RNAcentral lists this ribosomal RNA (754 nucleotides) under uncultured Streptococcus sp. RNAcentral describes it as "bacterial SSU rRNA". It matches the Rfam family "Bacterial small subunit ribosomal RNA", at positions 28 to 765 of the family's 1533-position model. Lineage: Bacteria; Bacillati; Bacillota; Bacilli; Lactobacillales; Streptococcaceae. The record is from RNAcentral.
GACGAACGCUGGCGGCGUGCCUAAUACAUGCAAGUAGAACGCUGAAGCUUGGUGCUUGCACCGAGCGGAUGAGUUGCGAACGGGUGAGUAACGCGUAGGUAACCUGCCUGGUAGCGGGGGAUAACUAUUGGAAACGAUAGCUAAUACCGCAUAAAAUGGAUUAUCGCAUGAUAAUUCAUUGAAAGGUGCAAAUGCAUCACUACCAGAUGGACCUGCGUUGUAUUAGCUAGUUGGUGGGGUAACGGCUCACCAAGGCGACGAUACAUAGCCGACCUGAGAGGGUGAUCGGCCACACUGGGACUGAGACACGGCCCAGACUCCUACGGGAGGCAGCAGUAGGGAAUCUUCGGCAAUGGACGGAAGUCUGACCGAGCAACGCCGCGUGAGUAAAGAAGGUUUUCGGAUCGUAAAGCUCUGUUGUAAGAGAAGAACGAGUGUGAGAGUGGAAAGUUCACACUGUGACGGUAUCUUACCAGAAAGGGACGGCUAACUACGUGCCAGCAGCCGCGGUAAUACGUAGGUCCCGAGCGUUGUCCGGAUUUAUUGGGCGUAAAGCGAGCGCAGGCGGUUAGAUAAGUCUGAAGUUAAAGGCUGUGGCUUAACCAUAGUACGCUUUGGAAACUGUUUUAACUUGAGUGCAAGAGGGGAGAGUGGAAUUCCUGUGUAGCGGUGAAAUGCGUAGAUAUUGGGAGGAACACCGGUGGGCGAAGCGGCUCUUGGUUUGUAACUGUCCGCUGAGGCUCUAAAGCGUGGU